Molecule: long non-coding RNA, 1022 nt
Organism: Dermacentor albipictus
Lineage: Eukaryota; Metazoa; Arthropoda; Arachnida; Ixodida; Ixodidae
Source: RefSeq, a predicted model, not a curated record
ACAAACAAAAAAGAAAGCAUCGACAAAUAAAUUCACUUACACGCAGUUACCAGCCCACCUUUGCCCCAUUUGAUUUGAUAUCAGCCCAUGUUUCUGGAAAUAAAUUUCCAGUGAAACUACCCGUAAACACAGAAAAUGGCUUAGAGGUAGCGUAAAAUAAAUAGCUUUGAAAGUAAUACACACACAUAGUUUAAAAGAAUAUUUGUUUUUAUGCCUUGAAAACGAAACCGAAAUUGAAAUAACUUCCCCCGACGGGUGUCGCCGCUAUCGCCGCUACGUCAUUUCCUGCGUCUCGCGGCGGGCCGCCGGGAGCACAUGUGUGUGUUCUCCGUGACAUUCUUGAAGUUGUGAGUAAUUAGAUUGUUUUUUGCUGCGUUUAGGUUGUACCACCUCGUUGUUUUCGUGUACUUUUGUGCUCAUCGACGCGAAGUGAGCGUCCGGAGUGAAGGCGACGCGAUUAUGCGUGAGAAAGAAGGGCACCAGCGGCCUACGACAUCGGUGUUUCUUUGUGACAGUGUGUUUACUACGCCUACGACGGCCGUCAUUCGUGGCGAAGGAGAAAACAUCUUCCAUUCGGCCUGAACAGUGAUGAAGUGGACGUUUUGUUUUUCGGCGGAAUGCAUCGUCAACAUGGUCCAUCCACUACGUAAACGAAACGGCGUGCCCAGAGUACAGAUCGUGACAGCGCUCCGCCUUCAAACCGAGGGCCUUUUGCAAGGCGCAUGAACUGCUCAUAUAAAAGUUGCAGUCAGCAUGAAGCAAUUGCAGUCAGCGUGAAGCAAUUGCAUGGGAACCGACUGGCUGUCUUGGGCCUACACGUUGCUGAAAAGACAGUGAAGACGUCUGACCCGACAGGUAGAAAAGAAGCAGAUGGCUACAGUGAUCAAUGAAGAAAUGGCUUCAUCUAUGAUGGCUCGCCUUAGGACAUUGGAAUGGAGCUACAAAAAGGCAUCAUCAUCCUCGCCUGUGCCCUGGAACUUUGGUUUGAAUGAGACUGUUCUUCAAUGUAGAACGGCCGCAAG